This 1565-nucleotide unclassified non-coding RNA is filed under the name Hevea brasiliensis (rubber tree). The record is from RNAcentral. Lineage: Eukaryota; Viridiplantae; Streptophyta; Magnoliopsida; Malpighiales; Euphorbiaceae.
AUAUGUAUUUAAAUAACUCAAUAAUUUGUCUAGCACCUCUUUCUCUCACAUACAUAUUUGUAGUAUCCAUACUCUAUGUUUUAAGGAUAAAUCGUAAUUUUGAGAAAGUAAGGUGCACUUUGGAGCAUUUUAUAAUUGGCCGCUUUAUAGGGCUAAGUUUGGUUUUUGGCACCAAUUUUUGUACAGAGGGAGGAAGACGAAUUAUUAGAGAGGGAAAGAAGGAAGGUUGAUUAGCUAAACCGCAAUUUGAGGUUCAGCCGAUCGUGAUUGGUGACAAAGGAAGUUCAUGUGUUUUGCAAUACAUCAACACCUGACAUUAUUUGAUGAUCUUGGGGAAUGGGGAAACGCACAAAUCAUCCAUUACCGGGUACCGAACUAAGCUCUCCACGUAGUCUAUACCAGAAACUGAAUCAUUAAUUCGUUUGCAUGAAACUUGUUGAUUCAUGAGAGAUUCGCAUUGGCAAACACUGUUUACAUGGUCUGGUGUAUAUAUAUGUAUAUAUAUGCUAAUUUCAUGUAACUGAUUGUCUAAGAAGGCAAACUUGAUUCCAUUGUCCAGAGUAGAAAAUUAUUACACAGGAUAACAAACGAAGACACAUCAGGGCACUGAAACCAAACAAAAAGACGAAAAGAAAUCAAACCAUGCUUCAAACUCAACAUAAAUUUUAAACAACCAAAAAGACAAAAAGAAAUCAAACCAUGCCUCAAACUCAAACUCAAGACAAAUUUUCCGAAGUACCCACUUCUAGUCCGCAUACCCACAACUAGGCCACUGACCCACAGUAACUUCCUGAUUCUCCACGCUUCCAAGAAAGACUUUUGUAAGAACUGUUUUAGACUGCAAAGAUUCUUUGAGUAGCUUCAAAGCCUGGCCAAAUAAGAAAUCAGUCAUAUCAGCCACUCGGCUAGCUAUGGCUAAUAAUUUUAUUGGAUAUAUACACAAAAUGAAUAGCUUAAUUACCUCAGCCAUGUCUAAAUCAACCACCCUUUCUUCAAGUGCACUUAAUUCCAGGAUCUUGAACUUGUUGAGCAGAGUAAUGCUUGAUAUGGAAGACAUAGGGCUCACCUCCAAAUUAUCCAUCACCAUGUAAGUUACCACACCCUUCACAAAACCCUUCUCAGCAGAAGGCACCUGCUCAUCACGAUAUCCUCUGGAAACGCAACUAGGACAAGUCCCAUUUGGUUCCUUAGCUGUGUUGUUGUUACAAUAUCGACAUUUGUAUAGUUUCGUGGGGAGUUCAUCACUAGACAAUAAGAGAGGGACUUCAGUGGCGGAGAUGGAAACUGUUGGCUUCAAAAUGGAUUCUUUAAUUUGGCUUGUGCUCAUGUAAGAUUCACCGAGUUCGUCAACGCUCUUAUACAGGUCCCCUAGGCAACCCACCAUGUCUUGCUCUGUUAAGAGCCUAAUUACAGACCCUAAAGGGAGAGUAAGAAGGUAUAGAAGGAAAUCGACAAAAUCUUUUCCUGCUUCUGCAAAAAGAACCUUGUGGCUCUUUUUGUCUAUCAGAAGCUUCAAGCUGACUUUGGAUGUUGCCAUAUUGCGUGGAUGAGGGUGACUAGAAUUU